RNAcentral lists this ribosomal RNA (440 nucleotides) under uncultured bacterium. RNAcentral's name for it is "bacterial SSU rRNA". It matches the Rfam family "Bacterial small subunit ribosomal RNA", at positions 338 to 795 of the family's 1533-position model. The record is from RNAcentral.
CCUACGGGUGGCAGCAGUGGGGAAUAUUGCACAAUGGGGGAAACCCUGAUGCAGCAACGCCGCGUGAGCGAUGAAGGCCUUCGGGUCGUAAAGCUCUGUCCUAAGGGAAGAAUAUUGACGGUACCUUAGGAGGAAGCCCCGGCUAACUACGUGCCAGCAGCCGCGGUAAUACGUAGGGAGAUAGCGUUAUCCGGAAUUACUGGGCGUAAAGGGUGCGUAGGCGGCCCUUCAAGUCUGAGGUGAAAGGCUGCGGCUCAACCGAAGUAAGCCUUUUAAACUGUAGGGCUUGAGGGCAGGUGUGGGGAGUGGAAUUCCCAGGGUAGCUGUGCAAUAGGAAGAUAGUGGGUAGAACACCGGUUGCGAUGGCGGCUGGCUUGUCUGUAAAUUGCUCGGAGGCAUGAAAGGGUGGGGAGCGAACAGGAUGAGAUACAUUAGUAGAC